UUCGAGUGGCGGACGGGUGAGUAACGCGUGGGUAACCUGCCCUACACAGGGGGAUAACACCUGGAAACAGGUGCUAAUACCGCAUAAGCGCACAGGGCCGCAUGGCCCGGUGUGAAAAACUCCGGUGGUGUAAGAUGGACCCGCGUCUGGCUAGCUUGUUGGCGGGGUAGAGGCCCACCAAGGCGACGAUCAGUAGCCGGCCUGAGAGGGUGGACGGCCACAUUGGGACUGAGACACGGCCCAAACUCCUACGGAAGGCAGCAG
This 264-nucleotide ribosomal RNA is filed under the name uncultured bacterium. RNAcentral describes it as "partial 16S ribosomal RNA". It matches the Rfam family "Bacterial small subunit ribosomal RNA", at positions 90 to 354 of the family's 1533-position model. The record is from RNAcentral.